Molecule: long non-coding RNA, 404 nt
Filed under: Vulpes vulpes (red fox)
Lineage: Eukaryota; Metazoa; Chordata; Mammalia; Carnivora; Canidae
Description: lncRNA (ENSVVUG00000000862.1)
Source: RNAcentral
GGCCAAGUCUGAAUAUCGGGGCUGACUCCUGAGCAAAAGUGGUCAGUGGUGGAGAGAGAAAGGGACCUUGCAACAAUUUGGAAUCCUGGAUCUCUAGUGUGUCUGGAAAACUACUUGUGUGCCAGUUGACACCUGGAUAAACCAGAGGUCUGUGGACCCCUCCCAAGAACAGGUUUGUACCGGAUUGUGAGGUCUGGGAAACCAGGGACCUUAUUUCACUUGGAAACCCUGAUUCUUAGUACAGAACCUGAGACCUGAGUUUCUGAUCAAAGCAACAGAAUGAAUACAGAUAAUCUAAAGCAUGAGCCAAGGAACGCAGUGUGCUGAAAAAAAAUUUGCCAGACGCCAAAUGAGAUAAGGAGCGUCCUGUGAGCAGGGACAGAUGUGGACAGGCCCGCAGAUAG